This 404-nucleotide ribosomal RNA is filed under the name uncultured bacterium. Its description in RNAcentral is "bacterial SSU rRNA". It matches the Rfam family "Bacterial small subunit ribosomal RNA", at positions 356 to 774 of the family's 1533-position model. The record is from RNAcentral.
GGGGGAUAUUGCACAAUGGAGGAAACUCUGAUGCAGCAAUGCCGCGAGAGGGAAGACGGUUUUCGGAUUGUAAACCUCUCUCCUUGGUGACGAAACAAAUGACGGUAGCCAAGGAGGAAGCUCCGGCUAACUACGUGCCAGCAGCCGCGGUAAUACGUAGGGAGCAAGCGUUGUCCGGAUUUACUGGGUGUAAAGGGUGCGUAGGCGGCUCUGCAAGUCAGGCGUGAAAUAUAUGGGCUUAACCCAUAGACUGCGUUUGAAACUGUGGAGCUUGAGUAUGGAUGAAGUAGGCGGAAUUCGUUGUGUAGCGGUGACAUGCAUAGAUAUAACUAGGAACUCCGAUUGCGUAGGCAGCUUACUAAGCCAUAACUGACGCUCAUGCACGAAAGCGUGGGGAUCAAACA